Molecule: ribosomal RNA, 454 nt
Filed under: uncultured bacterium
Lineage: Bacteria
Description: bacterial SSU rRNA
Rfam family: Bacterial small subunit ribosomal RNA
Source: RNAcentral
UACGGAAGGCAGCAGUGGGGAAUAUUGCACAAUGGGCGAAAGCCUGAUGCAGCUAUGCCGCGUGUAUGAAGAAGGCCUUAGGGUUGUAAAGUACUUUCAUCGGGGAGGAAAAAACAAAACUAAUAAUUUUAUUUCUUGACGUUACCCGAAAAAGAAGCACCGGCUAACUCCGUGCCAGCAGCCGCGGUAAUACGGAGGGUGCUAGCGUUAAUCAGAAUUACUGGGCGUAAAGAGCACGUAGGUGGUUUUUUUAAGUCAGAUGUGAAAUCCCUGGGCUUAACCUGGAACUGCAUUUUGAAACUGAAAUACUAGAGUAUCGUAGAGGGAGGUAGAAUUCUAGGUGUAGCGGUGAAAUGCGUAGAUAUCUGGAGGAAUACCUGUGGCGAAAGCGGCCUCCUAAACGAAUACUGACACUGAGGUGCGAAAGCGUGGGGAGCAAACGAGGGAUUAGAUA